AUACUUACCUUGCUUGGAGUUUCCUCGCUCAAGAAUGAGGAACCUCAGUGUGUGACGGCCUGCAUUGCACAUCGCGGAGUCGUCCGCACUUCAUUGUCCUUCGGGGCCAUGAGAGGCGUAAUUUUUGAUUUAUAACCCAUCUUUCAUUGUGUGUUCAG
This 158-nucleotide small nuclear RNA is filed under the name Fusarium fujikuroi. Its description in RNAcentral is "U1 spliceosomal RNA". It matches the Rfam family "U1 spliceosomal RNA". Rfam says of the family: U1 is a small nuclear RNA (snRNA) component of the spliceosome (involved in pre-mRNA splicing). Its 5' end forms complementary base pairs with the 5' splice junction, thus defining the 5' donor site of an intron. The record is from RNAcentral. Lineage: Eukaryota; Fungi; Ascomycota; Sordariomycetes; Hypocreales; Nectriaceae.